This 329-nucleotide ribosomal RNA is filed under the name uncultured Gammaproteobacteria bacterium. RNAcentral's name for it is "bacterial SSU rRNA". It matches the Rfam family "Bacterial small subunit ribosomal RNA", at positions 15 to 360 of the family's 1533-position model. Lineage: Bacteria; Pseudomonadati; Pseudomonadota; Gammaproteobacteria. The record is from RNAcentral.
GAUCAUGGCUCAGAUUGAACGCUGGCGGCAGGCCUAACACAUGCAAGUCGGGCGGUAGGGGAGCUUGCUCCUGACGAGCGGCGGACGGGUGAGUAAAGUCUAGGAAUCUGCCCAGUAGAGGGGGACAACGCGGGGAAACUCGCGCUAAUACCGCAUACGCCCUACGGGGGAAAGGUGUUUAUACCGCUAUUGGAUGAGCCUAGAUCAGAUUAGCUAGUUGGUAGGGUAAAAGCCUACCAAGGCGACGAUCUGUAGCUGGUCUGAGAGGAUGAUCAGCCACACUGGGACUGAGACACGGCCCAGACUCCUACGGGAGGCAGCAGGGGGGA